GACGAACGCUGGCGGCGUGCUUAACACAUGCAAGUCGAACGGAAAGGCCCUGCUUUUGUGGGGUGCUCGAGUGGCGAACGGGUGAGUAACACGUGAGUAACCUGCCCUUGACUUUGGGAUACCUUCAGGAAACUGGGGCUAAUACCAGAUAGGAGCUCUUGCUGCAUGGUGGGGGUUGGAAAGUUUCGGCGGUUGGGGAUGGACUAGCGGCUUAUCAGCUUGUUGGUGGGGUAGUGGCUUACCAAGGCUUUGACGGGUAGCCGGCCGGAGAGGGUGACCGGCCACAUUGGGACUGAGAUACGGCCCAGACUCCUACGGGAGGCAGCAGUGGGGAAUAGUGCACAAUGGGCGGAAGCCUGAUGCAGCAACGCCGCGUGCGGGAUGACGGCCUUCGGGUUGUAAACCGCUUUCGCCUGUGACGAAGCGUGAGUGACGGUAAUGGGUAAAGAAGCACCGGCUAACUACGUGCCAGCAGCCGCCGCCG
This 484-nucleotide ribosomal RNA is filed under the name uncultured bacterium. RNAcentral's name for it is "partial 16S ribosomal RNA". It matches the Rfam family "Bacterial small subunit ribosomal RNA", at positions 28 to 523 of the family's 1533-position model. The record is from RNAcentral.